RNAcentral lists this non-coding RNA (30 nucleotides) under Mus musculus (house mouse). The record is from RNAcentral. Lineage: Eukaryota; Metazoa; Chordata; Mammalia; Rodentia; Muridae.
UGUGACCAAUCAUGAAGGUGUCCCUGAAGC